CGAUUGAGUUUGAUCCUGGCUCAGGAUGAACGCUGGCGGCGUGCUUAACACAUGCAAGUCGAACGGAGAUAUCAUUUUCGAAGCGAUUAGUUUACUAAGAGUGGAGAUGUUGGUAUCUUAGUGGCGGACGGGUGAGUAACGCGUGGGUAACCUGCCUUACACUGGGGGAUAACAAUUAGAAAUGACUGCUAAUACCGCAUAAGCGCACAGUACUGCAUGGUACAGUGUGAAAAACUCCGGUGGUAUAAGAUGGACCCGCGUCUGAUUAGCCAGUUGGCGGGGUAACGGCCCACCAAAGCGACGAUCAGUAGCCGACCUGAGAGGGUGACCGGCCACAUUGGGACUGAGACACGGCCCAAACUCCUACGGGAGGCAGCAGUGGGGAAUAUUGGACAAUGGGGGGAACCCUGAUCCAGCGACGCCGCGUGAGUGAAGAAGUAUUUCGGUAUGUAAAGCUCUAUCAGCAGGGAAGAAAGAAAUGACGGUACCUGACUAAGAAGCCCCGGCUAACUACGCGCCAGCAGCCGCGGUAAUACGUAGGGGGGCAAGCGUUAUCCGGAUUUACUGGGUGUAAAGGGAGCGUAAGCGGCCUGCCAAGUCUGAUGUAGAAAUACGGGGCCUCACCCCGGGGCUGCAUUGGAAACUGGCAG
This 650-nucleotide ribosomal RNA is filed under the name uncultured bacterium. Its description in RNAcentral is "bacterial SSU rRNA". It matches the Rfam family "Bacterial small subunit ribosomal RNA", at positions 1 to 639 of the family's 1533-position model. The record is from RNAcentral.